This 434-nucleotide ribosomal RNA is filed under the name Veillonella dispar. RNAcentral's name for it is "bacterial SSU rRNA". It matches the Rfam family "Bacterial small subunit ribosomal RNA", at positions 28 to 437 of the family's 1533-position model. Lineage: Bacteria; Bacillati; Bacillota; Negativicutes; Veillonellales; Veillonellaceae. The record is from RNAcentral.
GACGAACGCUGGCGGCGUGCUUAACACAUGCAAGUCGAACGAAGAGCGAUGGAAGCUUGCUUCUAUCAAUCUUAGUGGCGAACGGGUGAGUAACGCGUAAUCAACCUGCCCUUCAGAGGGGGACAACAGUUGGAAACGACUGCUAAUACCGCAUACGAUCUAAUCUCGGCAUCGAGAAUGGAUGAAAGGUGGCCUCUAUUUAUAAGCUAUCACUGAAGGAGGGGAUUGCGUCUGAUUAGCUAGUUGGAGGGGUAACGGCCCACCAAGGCGAUGAUCAGUAGCCGGUCUGAGAGGAUGAACGGCCACAUUGGGACUGAGACACGGCCCAGACUCCUACGGGAGGCAGCAGUGGGGAAUCUUCCGCAAUGGACGAAAGUCUGACGGAGCAACGCCGCGUGAGUGAUGACGGCCUUCGGGGUUGUAAAAGCUCUGUU